RNAcentral lists this small RNA (101 nucleotides) under Levilactobacillus zymae. RNAcentral's name for it is "Lactobacillus zymae Guanidine-I sequence". It matches the Rfam family "Guanidine-I riboswitch aptamer". From Rfam's summary of the family: This family represents a conserved RNA structure found upstream of the ykkC and yxkD genes in Bacillus subtilis and related genes in other bacteria. The record is from RNAcentral. Lineage: Bacteria; Bacillati; Bacillota; Bacilli; Lactobacillales; Lactobacillaceae.
UACUUGGCUUUCUAGGGUUCCGCGGCACCGCCGGUCUGGUCCGAGAGAAGGCCCCGCAAGAUCAUACUUGCGGCACACGGAAGGGAAAAAGCCUGGGAGAU